UUGUUAAGCCUUAUAAGAAAAAAGUUAUUAAUUUAAGGAAUUAUAACAAAGAAGCAACACAUAAUAAAACUCUGUUUUAUUUAGUGUGUAUCAAUCGAGUUUCUGACCUAUCAGCUUUUGAUGUUAGGGUAUUGGCCUAACAUGGCUAUGACGGGUAACGGGGAAUUAGAGUUCGAUUCCGGAGAGGGAGCCUGAGAAAUAGCUACCACAUCUAAGGAAGGCAGCAGGCGCGUAAAUUACCCAAUUCUAAAGAAGAGAGGUAGUGACAAGAAAUAACAAUGCAAGGCCAAAUUUUGGUUUUGCAAUUGGAAUGAUAGGAAUUUAAAAACUUCCUAAAGUAACAAUUGGAGGGCAAGUCUGGUGCCAGCAGCCGCGGUAAUUCCAGCUCCAAUAGCGUAUAUUAAAAUUGUUGCAGUUAAAACGCUCGUAGUUGAAUUUCAAAGAAUCAAUUUUUAAAAAAUGCUUUAUCGGAUGCGUGUUAAAUGGCGCUACGGCGCAUAUUUUUCACAAAUCUGAUAAUAUGCGUUUUUUAAAAUAAAAUAGAUUCUUUUUAAAAAUUCUUCGUUGCUUUUUAAGUGAUGAGAAUUUUUGUUACUUUGAGUAAAUUAGAGUGUUCAAAGCAAACAGUGUAUAACAGGCAACUGUGUUUGAAUACUACAGCAUGGAAUAACAAAAUUGAACAAGCUAAAAUUUUUGUUCUUUUUUCUUAUUUUGGCUUAGUUACGAUUAAUAGGAGUAGUUUGGGGGCAUUCGUAUUCAGAUGUCAGAGGUGAAAUUCUUAGAUUUUCUGGAGACGAACAACUGCGAAAGCAUUUGCCUAAAAUACUUCCAUUAAUCAAGAACGAAAGUUAAGGGAGUGAAGACGAUCAGAUACCGUCGUAAUCUUAACCAUAAACUAUGCCGACUAGGUGUUGGAUGAAAGUGUUAAAANGGAUUGUCUUUUAGCUUGCUUCCUUCAGUACCUUAUGAGAAAUCAAAGUCUUUGGGUUCUGGGGCGAGUAUUCGCGCAAGCGAGAAAGUUAAAAGAAUUGACGGAAGGGCACCACCAGGCGUGGAGCUUGCGGCUUAAUUUGACUCAACACGGGAAAACUCACUAGUUUAAGACAAGAGUAGGAUUGACAGAUUAAUAGCUCUUUCUUGAUUUCUUGGAUGGUGAUGCAUGGCCGUUUUUAGUUCGUGAAUAUGAUUUGUCUGGUUAAUUCCGAUAACGAACGAGAUCUUAACCUGCUAAUUAGCGGUAAAUACAACAUAUUCUUAAACAAAGAAGAAUAUAGAUAAAAAUUACGAAUAAGUGAAAAUAUUAGGAUAUUUUUUAAUAUCCUUUUCCCUUUUCAACUUAUUUUGUUUUUUUUAUUCUAUUUCUUUUUUUGUAUAAGAAUGUAUUUACUUGAUUGUAAAGCUUCUUAGAGGGACAUUGUGUGUCUAACACAAGGAAGUUUAAGGCAACAACAGGUCUGUGAUGUCCUUAGAUGAACUAGGCUGCACGCGUGCUACACUGAUAUAUAUAACGAGUUAUUAAAAAUAUACGAAUGUAUAUAUAUUUUAUAUAUAUACAUUUUGUAUAAUUUUCCUCCACUGAAAAGUGUAGGUAAUCUUUAUCAAUAUAUAUCGUGAUGGGGAUAGAUUAUUGCAAUUAUUAAUCUUGAACGAGGAAUGCCUAGUAAGCAUGAUUCAUC
Molecule: ribosomal RNA, 1676 nt
Filed under: Plasmodium gallinaceum
Lineage: Eukaryota; Apicomplexa; Aconoidasida; Haemosporida; Plasmodiidae
Description: SSU rRNA
Rfam family: Eukaryotic small subunit ribosomal RNA
Source: RNAcentral